AUUGAACGCUGGCGGCAUGCCUUACACAUGCAAGUCGAACGGCAGCACGGGUGCUUGCACCUGGUGGCGAGUGGCGAACGGGUGAGUAAUACAUCGGAACAUGUCCUGUAGUGGGGGAUAGCCCGGCGAAAGCCGGAUUAAUACCGCAUACGAUCUACGGAUGAAAGCGGGGGACCUUCGGGCCUCGCGCUAUAGGGUUGGCCGAUGGCUGAUUAGCUAGUUGGGGGGGUAAAGGCCUACCAAGGCGACGAUCAGUAGCUGGUCUGAGAGGGCGACCAGCCACACGGGGACUGAGACACGGCCCAGACUCCUACGGGAGGCAGCAGUGGGGAAUUUUGGACAAUGGGCGAAAGCCUGAUCCAGCAAUGCCGCGUGUGUGAAGAAGGCCUUCGGGUUGUAAAGCACUUUUGUCCGGAAAGAAAUCCUUGGCUCUAAUACAGUCGGGGGAUGACGGUACCGGAAGAAUAAGCACCGGCUAACUACGUG
RNAcentral lists this ribosomal RNA (486 nucleotides) under uncultured bacterium. Its description in RNAcentral is "partial 16S ribosomal RNA". It matches the Rfam family "Bacterial small subunit ribosomal RNA", at positions 30 to 507 of the family's 1533-position model. The record is from RNAcentral.